UUCCAGAAUGACGCCGCUGCUCCUCACCGUCUACGCCUACUUCCACCGGUGAACCCCUACCACCUCCACCAUCACCUCCACCUUCACCUGCAGAUUUUAUGCUUACUAAGUAUACAAUUAAUCCAUGUCCUUGAAAUAUUUCCAUCAAACAGAAAUGCCUGCUGCCAUGGCCGACUCAGCUCCAGAUAUCCCCCAAGAACUCAUCAUCGAUAUUCUCUUACGACUCCCGACAAAAUCCGUCGGCAAAUGCAGGUGCGUUUCGAAGCCAUGGCGCUCUCUACUUUCCGACCCACUUUUCAUCAAAGCCCACCUCAGUCUCCACCUCCAUCACCCCCAAAAGCACAUCCUCAUCUCCAUUUCCCGUUCUCCUCCCUCUUCCUAUUUAUCCGUUGUAACUUUCACCACCACCAGUGGCAGCAGUAACAACGACGGCUUUUUGGAAAAGCUGACCCUUUUGCAGAACCAAUUGAUCUUCGCUCAAAUUGUCGGUUCUUGCAACGGGUUGGUCUUGGUGCUAACGUUUGAAGGAUCAGACACACCAACUAUGUAUUUGAUGAACCCCACUACCAGGGAGCUUGUGAAAUUUCAACACAGCCCAUUGGUUUGGGAUGACGCAGACACUAGUUAUGGUUUCGGUUAUGAUUGUUCUAGUGAUGAUUAUAAAAUUGUUAUGCUGUCUCACGAUUGGCUUGCUGACAAAACAGAGGGUUAUCCUGCCUUUGUUGAUGUAUUUAGUUGGAGGAUUGGAACUUGGAGGAGGAUUGGUUGUUUUCCUUAUGUUCCUAGUUCGCAUUCUGGGGUGUUUCUAAACGGGUCUAUACACUGGCUUGCUUUGUCUAAAGUUGAUGGAUUGUGUGUUAUAAUUGCUUUGGAUAUGAGCUGCGAGCAAUUUAAGCAAUUGCCAUGGCCUGAGACUGAUAAUACUCCUCGUAAGCGCAGCCGUAAGCUUGUAGUGCUUGGUGGAUGUCUAGGAAUGGUUGCCGUGCAAUCUAGACAUCACAUGGAUGUUUGGAUGAUGAAGGAGUAUGGUGUUAGAGAAUCUUGGACCAAAUUUAGUGUUACUAUACCAAAAAAGGCGUCUGUGUGGGGACCUAUAUGCCUGUUGGGGGUUGAUGAUGUUGUUUUGGAGAUGGGUGGGAAGAACUUUGUUGUGCAUAAUUUGAAAGAGAGAACUAUGAGGGAUAUGCUAAUUGCUGGCAUUCAAGAUAAGUUUAGAAGAGGAGUAAUGGGCUUUUGUGAGAGUCUUGUGUCACCUACUUUCUACAGUCAGAAAUGGAGAGCAUCGUAACCCCGUGGACGACUUUGAAAAUUCAUGCUAGUGGAGUUGGUGGAUUUGCUAGAUAAAAGCUACUGGUUUAAAUUUAGUACCAUGCAAUUGUACUGUUAAGGUGCAUGACCAAGUUCCAAGCUGCUCUUAGAUUGAAUGGAGCUUUUUCUUAACCUGUGCUAUCCUGUAACUUGUGAGAAGGAUGCGAACAGCAGGGAUGUUUUUGCUUUGCACAAUACAAAAUCAGCAUAUUUUGAGGUCGAAUUACAGAGCAAUUAUAGAGAUUGAUUACAAAGCAAUUGUAGAGGUUUCUUUGAUGCUGCUGCUUGUGUCUUAUGGAGAUUUGUUAUGGAGUUGAUGGAGCUACAAAGCACUUGGUAACUAUUAUUGAACAUAUCUUUGUGUGGCGAUUCACUGUGCAUAUCACCCAUAUGUGUUACAGGAGGAGCCUGGUAGAAUAGGCUGUUUGAUUUGGUUGUACAUGUUAUUUGGCUGUUAGUAUAUGAAUGUUUGCCUCACAAUUGCCCUAUUAAGUGCACUUUAUUCUCUUUGGUGAUAAAAGAUUGCCAAUCCUCAAACCUUACCAGUCUUUGAUGUAUGAACUGUGCCGGUCAUUAGUCUUCAAUGUGGAUGGUCACUCAGGUUCUUUAAGACCUCAAACAGAGUGCAGUGGUUAUGAGGGAAACAAAUAAAAAGAAGAAAAAGGAAAAAGCAGUUAAAACAUUUGGUAGAAAGCUCUUCCAAAUUUCCAUGGCACAUUACAGUCCAAAAAAACAAUUAGUGGUUAACCUACUACAAGUUUCUAUUGCAUUUCCUUUAUUUAUAUAUUCUUUUCCUAAGGAUUUGUUAGUAGAAAUCUUAGUGAAAUAAAAAUGAUUAGCUUUAUUUUUUUCUUCUAGCAAUUCAGAAUUUGUAGAGCUUUUGGAAUAUCAGUCAGUACCCAUUUGUUCUUCAAGGUACUUGCUACGUUUGUUUUUUAGUGUGUGGUCUGUAGUGUACAACCUAAUCCAUUCAUACUUUUUCCUACUGCCAAUCAUUCAAAUGAAAUUUAAGAAAAUUGUUCCCCGUAAGAUGUGCAUCUCUGGUGAAACAAAUUUUAUAAAGAAGUAUAUGCUAGACAAGACAAUUGACGCAGGUUCUAUUUUGAAGAAAAUCCUGCAUUAAAUCCAUCAAAGGAAAACAACUAAAUAAAUGAGUGUUUAUGAUUAACCCAUGUCGCUAAAAGAAGUCCAUCAUUCCCCAAUGCCAGUGGCCACGAGGCUGUUAGAACUGGGGUUGCCUUGGGAUAUGACAGCUCUAAUGAUGACCACAAAAUCGUUAUCCUAUCGUGUUAUGCAAAACCUAAUCUUAAUGAUACUUUGGUUGAUGUUUUUAGUUUGAGGAAUGGAACUUGGAAGAGAAUUAAGCAUUUUCCUUAUCAUCUUGAUUUUCAUUACGGGGUGUUACUGCACGGUGCUAUACAUUGGUUUGUGUAUUCAGAUGCUUCACUGAUAGCUUUUGAUUUGAGUUGCGAUAAAUUUAAGCCAAUGCCAAUGCCUACAGGUAUUUCUGCCCCUAUUAAGCUUUUAGAUUUUGGUGGAUGUCUAGCAAUGUUUGUGCAACAAAGACGGUCUAAUUAUCAGAUCGAUCAGGUGGAUAUUUGGAUGAUGAAAGAGUAUGGUGUUGCAGAAUCUUGGGAUGAAAAUAAGUCUUAUUACACCUAAUAAACCUAUUUGUCUAUUGAGAAAUGAUAAUGUUGUUUUUGUCGCUGAGGAACAGAAAUUCUUGGGAGAUAAUAAUGCUAUUUUUGUGGUGAAGCAAAAAAAGUUAGUUUUGCGCAACUUGAUAGAGAAAACUACGAGGGAUAUGGUGGUUGCUGGCAUUGGUGAUCACUUGCAAGAUGUUAUGGGCUUUUCUGAGAGCCUUGUGUCGCCUCUUUACUACAGUCAAAAUUGGAGAGCAACAUAAACUUGAGGAUUGACAGGAAAUCAAUGCUGAGGAAGGUAUAGGCUUACAAGUUUAUUGAAUUAUGUAACAUAAUUUUAUUUAUUUUGUCAUCAAAUCUUAGUUAUCACAUGGAUAUCUAUAUUGUUAUCUGAUAUCCAGCUUGGGAAAAAUUGCAUAUUGGUUGUCUUAUACUUUGUAGGCUUUGCAAUGAUUGACAGAUUUGUACAAGAUAUUUUGCAGUACUUGCUGAUUUUGUUGAACCACAGCAUUCUGAACGGGGGGAAUUCAUUUAAUAGAACCAAAAUAAGUUCGUCAAUCAAUUGAAAUUGAAAGAAUUGGGAAUGAAAUUGUGCUUCGUGAAUGGGAAAAUAUUGUUGCAUAUUGUAUGAAGUGAGGUGGUUGGUUUCUUUUUGUGGCUACUGUCAAUUAAGCAAAGCUGAGUGCCAAUGCUUGUUGGUUUUCUGACAAAGGGAAAAAGAAAGUUAAAAGACCUAUAGAUAGUUUUGAAAAUUUGUAGCUCUCUUGCAUAUUAACUUUGAUCACGCCUUUUUCCAGAUUCGUUGUUCAAAAAAGUUAUUUUUGGUAUUUCUGCAUACUUUUUGGUUUUUGUCCGUCUCUUGCUUUUUGUUUCCCCCGUUCCCCUCUUCCAACUAUUGUUGCAGGUAGGAAAAGUUUUAGCAGUUUGGCCUCUUCUAUUAUUGGUUAAUGGAUUUUCUAGAUAAAAGCUCUCAGUCCAAAUAAACUGUGUUGGUGCUUCAUUCCUAGCUGAGAACAUAGUUUCUAGGAUUGUGUAAAUAGCUGAUUCAGGACAAUGUUGCUUGCUGGAGGAUGGUCCCAAGGUCUCAAGCAAAUUGGCUUCUCUUGUUUGGAACUUCAAUCCAAACAUCUUAUGUGCUGAGUAAUUUGUGUUGUGGUAGUUAUAGUUAUACUAGAUACUGAUUGGCUGUUCCAUAGUGUUUUGUUACUGGUGAAUAUUUCUUGCAAUAACAAGAAAACUUAAAUUUACUUAAUUUUUUUGUUAGUACCAUCUACCCUGCAAUUGUACUGGUAAGGUGCAUCCUUGGACCAAGGUGCUCUAAAUUGAGUGGAUUCUUUUUUUCGUCCAUGUCAUCAUAUCCCAUGGCAAAAGA
Coffea eugenioides is the source of this 4323-nucleotide RNA transcript. It is a transcript of the gene named F-box/kelch-repeat protein At3g06240-like, with no coding region annotated. The record is from RefSeq and is a predicted model, not a curated record. Lineage: Eukaryota; Viridiplantae; Streptophyta; Magnoliopsida; Gentianales; Rubiaceae. The transcript has 3 exons.